Molecule: transfer RNA, 90 nt
Filed under: Crucibulum laeve
Lineage: Eukaryota; Fungi; Basidiomycota; Agaricomycetes; Agaricales; Nidulariaceae
Rfam family: tRNA
About the family: Transfer RNA (tRNA) molecules are approximately 80 nucleotides in length. Their secondary structure includes four short double-helical elements and three loops (D, anti-codon, and T loops).
Source: Rfam by way of RNAcentral
CCUUCGAUAGCUCAGUUGGAAGAGCGUGGGACUGUAACGGUUAACUUUCAUUUCAUCCCGAGGUCACUGGUUCGAUCCCGGUUCGAAGGA